AUCCAUAUCUCAUUGUUCAAGUUACUUUGAGUGAGCAACCCUCACAGCGUCACCCAGUCGGCAUUGUGCAGGAGCAUUUCUCUCCCGUCGGAGCAACUUCAGAGAUUCAAUGCUAGUUGUUUGGACUUUGAAAAUAUGAAAGUAAUAAGCUUUUCCGGUGGCAUAACAAAACCCUGUUUUUUUAUUGCCCAAACAGAAAUGCCUAUUCUAACAUUUGCUCAUUGUAAGCUGAGUGCUACCCUAGCUCUUAGGAGGAUGGGGUCCAUUACGAGACUUCAAUAUUCUGUUGCUGAUAGGACAUUCACUUCUGGUUCCGUGGAUUUGCCGGCUUCCAAAACGGACUCUGGUCGAGUGAAUCGGAGGCGGGGAGGCGGCUCAUCCUCGGUAUAUAGCCGUCCUAGUUUAUCAGAAAUGAAGAAGGAGAAGGCAGCAAUAAGGGAAAAGGUUUAUGAGUUCUUGAGGGCAAUUGGCAUUGUUCCUGAUGAGCUUGAUGGUCUUGAACUCCCUGUGACUGUUGAUGUUAUGAGGGAGCGCGUUGAUUUUCUUCAUAGUUUGGGGCUUACGAUUGAAGACAUCAACAACUAUCCGCUUGUUCUUGGCUGCAGUGUCAAGAAGAACAUGAUUCCUGUGCUUGAUUACCUUGGAAAAUUGGGAGUGAGGAAAUCCUCGAUCACUCAAUUCUUGCAGAGAUACCCACAAGUGCUCCAUGCUAGUGUGGUUGUGGAUCUUAUGCCGGUGGUCAAUUAUCUUAAGGGGAUGGAUAUCAAGUUCGAUGAUGUUCCUCGUGUUCUUGAGAGGUACCCUGAAGUUCUCGGAUUCAAACUUGAGGGAACUAUGAGCACAUCCGUUGCUUAUUUGAUUGGAAUUGGAGUAGGAAGAAGAGAAAUUGGAGGUGUCUUAACUAGAUACCCAGAGAUUUUGGGGAUGCGAGUUGGUAGAGUCAUCAAGCCUUUUGUGGAAUAUCUGGAAAGCUUGGGAAUUCCAAGGUUAGCUAUUGCUAGACUGAUAGAGCAACGGCCUUAUAUUCUUGGAUUUGGGCUGGGUGAGAAGGUGAAGCCAAAUGUUAAAUACCUUGAAGAGUAUAAUGUUAGGCGAACAUCACUUCCGUCUAUAAUUGCUCAAUAUCCUGACAUCAUUGGAACUGACCUAAAUCAAAAGCUUGAAAAACAGAGAAGUUUACUCAAUUCUGUACUUGAUUUGGAUCCAGAGGACUUUGGCCGAGUUGUUGAGAAGAUGCCACAGGUAGUUAACCUCAGCAGUGGACCUAUGCUGAAACAUGUUGAUUUUCUUAAGAAUUGUGGGUUUUCCUUGCCACAAAUGAGGCAGAUGGUUGUUGGAUGCCCUCAAUUACUUGCUUUAAACAUUGACAUUAUGAAACUUAGCUUUGAUUACUUCCAAAUGGUUAUGAAAAGGCCUUUGGAAGACUUGGUUACUUUCCCUGCAUUCUUCACUUACGGUUUGGAGUCAACUAUAAAACCUAGGCAUAAGAUGGUUGUCAAGAAAGGGUUGAAGUGUUCUCUGUCAUGGAUGCUUAAUUGUUCUAAUGAGAAAUUUGAGCAACGAAUGGACUAUGACACUAUUGACAUGGAAGAGAUGGAAAUGGAACCAUCAUUUGACAUGAAUUCACUGACGCAACCAAGAAGUGAUGAAUCAGAUUUUGAUUAUGAAGACAGCGAUGAAGAUGAUGAGUAGAAUGAUUAAGUUACUCCAAUAACUAGUUUAUCUGGGAAAAUUUUGAUAUUCUGUUGGAUGAUCUUUAUGCUGAUAUUUACAAUGAUGUACCAUUGGAAAGGUCAUCACAUUCACAUAUCAUAUUGUUGCCCUCCCAUUGCUUCAACCUUGUAUAGUCACAAAUUGUCCUUCUCCCUCAAAGCUCACAGGUUGUGGUCACAUAUUGUCUCGAAGCUAACAGAAGGGAUGCCAUGAAGUGGGUUGAAACUUGAAACUAAUCAGGUUGUGUUGAGAUUGUGGAAAUUCUCAUUCCUGGUGGGAGGAUACGAUUUGUAUGCAUGUUUGUGCUCUCUAUCGUCAACAUGGUUGGUGUGCUUGGGAUCUUAUGUGCAGUAGUUCACUGUUGGCAUCUGUGAGUGUAUUACUCCUUUACUGUCUAUAAGUGUAACUAUGUUAAAUAUAACUUCUAAAAUCUUGUUAAGUGUAACUAUCUUAGUUAGACAGCUGUGAGUCUGUGACUGAGUCUCUGUAUAUAUAAGGUACUGUGAACAGAGACUCAGUGCCUUUGUAGUGUUU
RNA transcript from Glycine soja, 2247 nucleotides. It is a transcript of the gene named transcription termination factor MTERF4, chloroplastic, with no coding region annotated. The record is from RefSeq and is a predicted model, not a curated record. The transcript is spliced from 4 exons. Lineage: Eukaryota; Viridiplantae; Streptophyta; Magnoliopsida; Fabales; Fabaceae.